This 403-nucleotide ribosomal RNA is filed under the name uncultured bacterium. Its description in RNAcentral is "partial 16S ribosomal RNA". It matches the Rfam family "Bacterial small subunit ribosomal RNA", at positions 28 to 526 of the family's 1533-position model. The record is from RNAcentral.
GACGAACGCUGGCGGCGUGCCUAAUACAUGCAAGUCGAACGCAGUGGGGACGGGUGAGUAACACGUGGGUAACCUCCCAUCAGAGGGGAUAACACUUGGAAACAGGUGCUAAACCGAUACUGGUUGAUGUAGCCGCGGUGCAUUAGCUAGUUGGUGAGGUAACGGCUCACCAAGGUCACGAUGCAUAGCUGACCUGAGAGGGUGACCGGCCACACUGGGACUGAGACACGGCCCAGACUCCUACGGGAGGCAGCAGUAGGGAAUAUUCGGCAAUGGACGAAAGCCUGACCGAGCAACGCCGCGUGAGUGAAGAAGGUUUUCGGAUUGUAAAACUCUGUUGUUAGAGAAGCGGUAUCUAAACAGAAAGCAACGGCUAACUACGUGCCAGCAGCCGCGGUAAUAC